CGAACGGGGAGAUUCAUCGUCAGCGGACGCCGGCUUCGCGUCGGUCGGCGAUGUCCCGCGGGGGCCCUCGCGGCUCUCAGCGCGGGCACGCUGCCGUGCGCCGAUGUAUCCGGCUUCGCCGUCGUGCACUUCUCCCCUGGUAGAACGUCGCGACCCGCUGGGUGUCGGUCUACGGCCCGGGUGCGGUGUCUGACGCGCCGCCGGUAAAACGGCGCGCGUCAAACCCCCGGUCGCCCGGCCGGCUGCCCGGCGGUACGCGCAAGGUAUCAGGCCGCACACACAUUUGAACGGUGCGUCGAGGCCGUCGCAAGCGCGCGCCACGGUACACGGAGGUACGGACCUAGCGCCGUCACCGGUCCUGGCCCGCUGUUGGUCGUACGGUUAACCUUCGACAGGCCUACGAACGUCCCAGCGUGGGGGUGUCGGGGGCUCGUCUCCCGCGCGCUCUCGCGUUGGC
This 457-nucleotide ribosomal RNA is filed under the name Myrmica crassirugis. Its description in RNAcentral is "partial 28S ribosomal RNA". The record is from RNAcentral. Lineage: Eukaryota; Metazoa; Arthropoda; Insecta; Hymenoptera; Formicidae.